CAGGACACAGCACAGGCAGCGACAGUGUGAACUUUGCCCACACCACCCAUCCAUGUGCCUCAAUCCUGACCUGGAGGGACCACCUGUAGA
This 90-nucleotide small RNA is filed under the name Dasypus novemcinctus (nine-banded armadillo). RNAcentral describes it as "TUC338 (ENSDNOG00000039764.1)". Lineage: Eukaryota; Metazoa; Chordata; Mammalia; Cingulata; Dasypodidae. The record is from RNAcentral.